CUUGUAGGGCAAUAACUCCUUAUUGGGUCAAAUGAUAAUUUUCGUAUUGCUUACUUUGCUGAAUAAUUUUACUGUUUACAGUUUAUCUAUUAUAUAUACGAGAUAAUAACCAAAAACUGCAAAAUUUCCUUAAAAUUACAAAUUCAGAGGCAGCACCCUAACCCAACAACGGGACGUCUGAUGCGUCUAAAAAAUUCAGCACCGAUAGAUCUUUACCUGAUGGAACAAUUUUAUCCCCAGUCAGAUUUACUCUAAUUGCUUUAUUUUCGGAGAUAUAAGCUAUGUUUUCAUUUAGCCAUGAUGGUCAUCUUGGAUGAUUGGCGGGGUCAUCAGAAACUUUAAAACUAGAUACCCUAAAGAAGAUUUAGGCCAAGUUUGGUAUUAUUUGGCUAAGUAGUUGCAGAAUUUUUUUUUGUAAAAGUGAAUGGACGCCAAGUGAUUAGAAAAGCUCACUUGGGCCAGGUGAGCUUAACAAGUUGAGAUUUACCAGUUUUCUUACAAUAACUCUAAAUUGCUUUCAGCAAUUCCCAUGAAACUUUGGUGAAUUGUUUAUAUUGAUUGAUGAUGUAAGCUCCCUUUUCUUUUUCAUAAAUUUCUAAUAUGACAUUGAGAAGUAAUUGAACUUCAUUCUUUUAGUAUAAUCACUCUGAAGACAGCAGAGGUCAAUGGCCUUGCCAUUUCUAAAUGCUCGUGUUUCAUCUUAAGUUUUUGGGCUAAAACUGUCAUCAAUAUAUAAUAUGCCAUUUGCAAGGGUACUCGCUCUCGGAAAUCGGUUUUGACUGACUAAAAAGCUACAAUGUUCGCCUCCCCAAGGGCAAUGUGAGCUAGUGCCAUUACUCAAUGUCCAUUAUUGUAAUAUUUUUCAUUAAAAAAAAUCUCCCUCAACUGAAGAUUGUUUGCUUCAUCUGUAAUUGUCUAUUUAGAAUUUUAUGGUUAUCAUCUAGCAGAUACAUGUGGUCUAUGUCAGUCAUACAUGUCAUUGUGGCAAAAAUUUGUAUAGGAUAGAACUGCAGGAUUUUGCUAAUCUGUCAGAAACAAUCGCAAUUAAACAAAAACAAAAAUAACUUGUAAUAAAUGGGAGGCUGUUUAUACUAAAGGGGUGAAUUUGUUCACAUGUAGUGUAGUCCCCAGAAAUAUUUAUCUUUACUUCUGUUUGAAAACUAGAAGCUAUAGCAAGAAUUGUAAUUUGAAACCAAUAAAUAUCAAGAUUGCAAGUUCCAUCUCCAUCUGUAUAAUCUAGGAAAUUGGGCAGACCCUAUAUGGAGUUAUUGCCCUUGAAAUUUGAAUUUGGUAUUGUGACCUUGACCUUACAAACCGACAUUUCGAUUCGGUGGCCGAGUGGUCCAAUAAGUCGAACAAGUUAACGUUAUCACUAGCAUGUCAACACUGGUGUAGUAGUGUUGACAAUCUACUACAAUCCUAAAUGACUUGGAAUGUGGUUCUCUCCUGGUACUCAAGCUUCCUUUGACAAUAAACUGACCGAUACGAAUUAGAACAAUAAAGCUGAAAGUUGCGUUUAACACCAAAACAAUAUAUCAAAUAUUGCAUAGAAGUAUAAUGAUAUCUGUUCAAACAUUGGAUUGAAAUAUAUAUGUUGAAUCUGUUUCUAUUUUCCUCG
RNAcentral lists this long non-coding RNA (1618 nucleotides) under Mytilus galloprovincialis (Mediterranean mussel). The record is from RNAcentral. Lineage: Eukaryota; Metazoa; Mollusca; Bivalvia; Mytilida; Mytilidae.